ACAAACUUGGUCAUUUAGAGGAAGUAAAAGUCGUAACAAGGUUUCCGUAGGUGAACCUGCGGAAGGAUCAUUAAAGGUUUAGCUGUUUGUGAAGGGUUGUUGCUGGCCAGAUUUUGACAAGUGCACACCUGGAUCAUAAACACAGCACAAAAACCCCUCUCCUGCACCUGUGCACAACUGUAGUGGGGAAUUGCUCUCCGCUACGAAUGUCGUUAAUCGCGUGUAAACAAAAAGUGUUGGGAUGUUCAUAAAUGUAACGAACUUAUACACAACUUUCAGCAACGGAUCUCUUGGCUCUCGCAUCGAUGAAGAACGCAGC
RNAcentral lists this unclassified non-coding RNA (319 nucleotides) under uncultured fungus. RNAcentral's name for it is "partial contains small subunit ribosomal RNA, internal transcribed spacer 1, and 5.8S ribosomal RNA". The stretch from base 1 to 73 matches the Rfam family "Eukaryotic small subunit ribosomal RNA", at positions 1759 to 1831 of the family's 1831-position model. The record is from RNAcentral. Lineage: Eukaryota; Fungi.